UGUCAGCAACUAGCCGUCCUCAGUCUGGAAGCUAUAAAAGGUCUGAGGAGGGCUCCCUCGGUCUCUAACUCCGGCGGCUCACGAAUUUCGUGUUUAUCACUGGCCUUCCUGUGUUCUCAAAGAUGGCAACCAGCAGGGUUCCAAGCGGCAGACGGGGUGAAGCAAGUAAAGCUCAGAGCACUGAAUGAUUUCCUGAGACCAUAAAGCUUGGAAGCCAACGUGCUGAAGGUCCAGCCCCACACUUCUAAUUCCCAGAGCUGGUUCAUGGCUCUAGCCAAAGUUAAGAAUCACUGGAAAUCUGACCAAAGCAUUAACUGGCAGCAUUCCUAUGAGUAGCACAGGUCAAUGGACAUGAGUCUGAGCAAGCUCCAGGAGAUGGUGAAGGACAGGGGAGCCAGGCGUGCUGCAGUCCAUGGGG
Long non-coding RNA from Cervus elaphus (red deer), 418 nucleotides. RefSeq lists it as uncharacterized. Lineage: Eukaryota; Metazoa; Chordata; Mammalia; Artiodactyla; Cervidae. The transcript is spliced from 3 exons. The record is from RefSeq and is a predicted model, not a curated record.